RNAcentral lists this ribosomal RNA (369 nucleotides) under uncultured bacterium. Its description in RNAcentral is "bacterial SSU rRNA". It matches the Rfam family "Bacterial small subunit ribosomal RNA", at positions 917 to 1289 of the family's 1533-position model. The record is from RNAcentral.
GGGCCCGCACAAGCGGUGGAGUAUGUGGUUUAAUUCGAUGCAACGCGAAGAACCUUACCAGGGUUUGACAUCCUGCGAAUUUCUGGGAAACCGGAAAGUGCCUUCGGGAGCGCAGUGACAGGUGGUGCAUGGCUGUCGUCAGCUCGUGUCGUGAGAUGUUGGGUUAAGUCCCGCAACGAGCGCAACCCACGUCUUUAGUUGCCAGCAUUUAGUUGGGCACUCUAGAGAGACCGCCGGUGAUAAACCGGAGAAGGUGUGGAUGACGUCAAGUCAUCAUGCCCCUUACAUCUGGGCUACACACGUGCUACAAUGGUAGAUACAGAGGGCAGCUACCCCCGCGAGGGGAUGCGAAUCUCGAAAGUCUAUCUC